RNAcentral lists this unclassified non-coding RNA (222 nucleotides) under uncultured fungus. RNAcentral's name for it is "sequence contains ITS1". Lineage: Eukaryota; Fungi. The record is from RNAcentral.
GUACAAGUUUUUGCUGCUGUAGCAAACGAUACGUUCCGAUACAUGCGUUCGUUAUGGAUAUAUGACGCGAGCCCCCCGAGGGGGACCCACGCAGAGGUGCACAGGGGGGUGAGAAGAUGAAGGACAGAGACAAAGGCGUGCACGUUGCCCCGGGGGGGGGGGCCAGCGACAACCUCGCUCGAGCUUUCAUUAAUGAUCCUUCCGCAGGUUCACCUACGGAAA